UUUUCCCCCGGAAAAAACUAGCAUAUCAAUAAGCGGAGGAAAAGAAACCAACAGGGAUUGCCCUAGUAACGGCGAGUGAAGCGGCAACAGCUCAAAUUUGAAAUCUGGCGCAAGCCCGAGUUGUAAUUUGCAGAGGAUGUUUCUGGCGACGUGCCUUCCGAGUUCCCUGGAACGGGACGCCAUAGAGGGUGAGAGCCCCGUACGGUUGGAUGCCUAGCCUCUGUGAAACUCCUUCGACGAGUCGAGUAGUUUGGGAAUGCUGCUCUAAAUGGGAGGUAUACGUCUUCUAAAGCUAAAUAUUGGCCAGAGACCGAUAGCGCACAAGUAGAGUGAUCGAAAGAUGAAAAGCACUUUGAAAAGAGGGUUAAAAAGUACGUGAAAUUGUUGAAAGGGAAGCGUUCAUGACCAGACUUGGGCAGGUUGAUCAUCCGUGGUUCUCCGCGGUGCACUCUGCCUGCCCAGGCCAGCAUCAGUUCGCCCUGGGGGAUAAAGGCUUCGGGAAUGUGGCUCCUCCGGGAGUGUUAUAGCCCGCUGCGUAAUACCCUGCGGCGGACUGAGGUACGCGCUCCGCAAGGAUGCUGGCGUAAUGGUCAUCAGCGACCCGUCUUGAAACACGGACCAAGGAGUCGUCUUCGUAUGCGAGUGUUCGGGUGUCAAACCCCUACGCGUAAUGAAAGUGAACGUAGGAGAGAGCUUCGGCGCAUCUCCGACCGAUCCUGAUGUUCUCGGAUGGAUUUGAGUAAGAGCAUACGGGGCCGGACCCGAAAGAAGGUGAACUAUGCCUGUAUAGGGUGAAGCCAGAGGAAACUCUGGUGGAGGCUCGCAGCGGUUCUGACGUGCAAAUCGAUCGUCAAAUAUGGGCAUGGGGGCGAAAGACUAAUCGACUUUUUU
Molecule: ribosomal RNA, 891 nt
Filed under: Clonostachys pilosella
Lineage: Eukaryota; Fungi; Ascomycota; Sordariomycetes; Hypocreales; Bionectriaceae
Description: Clonostachys sp. CL-2020c partial large subunit ribosomal RNA
Rfam family: Eukaryotic large subunit ribosomal RNA
Source: RNAcentral